GAUGAACGCUGGCGGCGUGCCUAACACAUGCAAGUCGAACGGAGUCCAGCCUUUAAGACCUUCGGGUCAAAGAGGGGAAGACUGAGUGGCGGACGGGUGAGUAACACGUGGGCAACCUGGCUCAUAGAGGGGGAUAACAGAGAGAAAUUUCUGCUAAUACCGCAUAAGCACACACUGCCGCAUGGCAGAGGGUGAAAAGAGAAUCGCUAUGAGAUGGACCCGCGUCUGAUUAGCCAGUUGGCAGGGUAAGAGCCUACCAAAGCGACGAUCAGUAGCCGAUCUGAGAGGAUGAACGGCCACAUUGGGACUGAGACACGGCCCAAACUCCUACGGGAGGCAGCAGUGGGGGAUAUUGCACAAUGGGGGGAACCCUGAUGCAGCGACGCCGCGUGAGUGAAGAAGUAUUUCGGCAUGUAAAGCUCUAUCAGCAGGGAAGAUAAUGACAGUACCUGAAGAAGAAGCCCCGGCUAACUACGUG
RNAcentral lists this ribosomal RNA (478 nucleotides) under uncultured bacterium. RNAcentral describes it as "partial 16S ribosomal RNA". It matches the Rfam family "Bacterial small subunit ribosomal RNA", at positions 28 to 507 of the family's 1533-position model. The record is from RNAcentral.